CAAUCAAAAUUUUAGCUUACAACUAAUUAUUCCUAAAGGUUGAUUGA
Molecule: transfer RNA, 47 nt
Filed under: Walchia hayashii
Lineage: Eukaryota; Metazoa; Arthropoda; Arachnida; Trombidiformes; Trombiculidae
Description: tRNA-Val
Source: RNAcentral